GAGCGUGUAGCUCAGUUGGUAGAGCGUUCGCUUAGCAUGCCUUUACCACCUGCGAAAGGUCUUGGGUUCGAUUCCCAACUCGUCCA
RNAcentral lists this transfer RNA (86 nucleotides) under Thermochaetoides thermophila DSM 1495. RNAcentral describes it as "Chaetomium thermophilum var. thermophilum DSM 1495 tRNA". It matches the Rfam family "tRNA". From Rfam's summary of the family: Transfer RNA (tRNA) molecules are approximately 80 nucleotides in length. Their secondary structure includes four short double-helical elements and three loops (D, anti-codon, and T loops). The record is from Rfam by way of RNAcentral. Lineage: Eukaryota; Fungi; Ascomycota; Sordariomycetes; Sordariales; Chaetomiaceae.